GCAUUAGGGGCACAGGGAGGAGUCUGACCUCUCCCUGCCCUGCAGCCGCUCCCAGGGAGUGGAGAAAGAACUGUGGGAGGCCAGCCCUCCCCACACUGCUGUGGGUGGAACCUGUGUCGGAGCCCAGACCAAGGUCCCUGCAGAUCCUGAGUGGGGAUCAGGUGAUGCCCUGGAUUCUGAUGGAGCAGCUGGCUGGAUGGUGAUGCCACACAGAGGUGAGGAACGCCAGGAAGGACGUGGGACAAGGCAAGGAACCAUUAAAAGAUACAAAAACUAUAACAAAGACCUUACAGAAGAAGAACGGGACAAGAAUGGGGAAGUUUUGCUCCACCAGAUAUCAAGACUUGCUAAAACUAAGUAUGGUAAAAUAACUAAAACUUUAGCAAUUAAAGACUGUGAGGUAUUGAUACAGGGACUGAUAUAAGACAGCUAUGGCACUGCUGAUCAAUAAAUGAUGCUAAGAUAGUUGCUUAUCUAUAUUAAAAUAAAAACCCGACCUCAUACUCUACACAAAAAUAAACUGCAGAUUAAUUUAAAAAUAUUUGUGAAAAGUAAUAUUUUGAGUUCUUAGAAAAACAUAGAAGCAUCUCUUAUGAGGGUGGAAUAAAAAAUGAUUUUUUAAAAGCAGACAACAAAAGCACAGGGUAUAAAGAAAAAUGGUGGACAAAUUUGAUAACAUUAAGAUGAAGAACCUCUGUUGAUCAAAAGACAUCAUAAGCCUAGGCAGCAAAGUGAGACUCAUCUCUACAAAAAAUUGCAUAAAAUUAGCCAGGCACAGUGAUACACACCUGUGGACCUAGCUACUUGGUAGAGAGAGGCAAGAGAAUUGCUUGAGCCCUGGAGAUCAAGACUGCAGUGAGCUAUGAUUGCACCACUGCAAUCUAGCCUGGGUGGCAGGGAGACUCCUUGUCUCUUAAAAAACAAAAAAUAGAUCGGUGAUCUAAAAUGGCCAAAUAGGAACAGCUCUGGAGUGCAGUUCCCAGAGAGAACGCAGAGGGUGAGUGAUCACCACAUUUCCAAAUGAGUUUUUACUGCCCACAGACCAGAAGAUUCCCAGGCUGAA
Molecule: long non-coding RNA, 1063 nt
Filed under: Callithrix jacchus (white-tufted-ear marmoset)
Lineage: Eukaryota; Metazoa; Chordata; Mammalia; Primates; Cebidae
Description: lncRNA (ENSCJAG00000086214.1)
Source: RNAcentral